RNAcentral lists this signal recognition particle RNA (299 nucleotides) under Cebus imitator (Panamanian white-faced capuchin). Its description in RNAcentral is "Metazoan signal recognition particle RNA (ENSCCAG00000001888.1)". It matches the Rfam family "Metazoan signal recognition particle RNA". Rfam says of the family: The signal recognition particle (SRP) is a universally conserved ribonucleoprotein. It is involved in the co-translational targeting of proteins to membranes. Lineage: Eukaryota; Metazoa; Chordata; Mammalia; Primates; Cebidae. The record is from RNAcentral.
GCCGGGCACGGCGGUGCAUGCCUGUAGUCCCAGCUACUCUGGAGGCUGAGGCUGGAGGAUCUCUUGAGUCCAGGAGUUCUGGGCUGUGGUGCACUAUGCAGAUCAGGUGUCCGCACUAAGUUUGGCAUCAAUAUAGUCACCUCCCGAGAGCGGGGGACUGCCAGGUUGCCUAAGGAGGGGUGAACCAGCCCAGGUCAGAAACAGAACAGGUCAAAACUCCCGUGCUGAUCAGUAGUGGGAUCGCGCCUGUGAAUGGCCACUGCACUCCAGCCUGGGCAACAUGGCGAGAGCCUGUCUCU